AGAAGGGUUCUUUGAAAGAGAAGAUGAGUUUGAAGAGAAAGUGAGAAAGCCCUUGAGUGAUAAGAGAAAAAUAGAGAUUCAAAGAAGAAGAGAUGAACAAAUGAUAGAGAUAGAAAAGAAAGAAAGAGUUGAAAGAAAACAAUAUCUUACUACCUUAGAAGAAAAGCUUAUAAUUCUUAAUGAAAAGCAAGAAAAAGUUUAAGAGGAUUUAAGGAAGAUUUAGAGAAGAAGAAAGGAAGACAAUAGAAGGAAGAAAGAAUAGAGAGAGAAAGAGGAGCAAGUAAGAAAAGAGAAAGAGGAACGAGUAAGAAGAAAGAAAAAUGAGUAAGUAAGAAGAGAGAAAAAGGAGGAGCAUAGAAGAAGAAAGUAUGAAGAGAAAAAGAUAAAAGAAAGGAAUGAGAAGGAAAAAAAAAAAAAAGAAGAGAUUUAGAGAAGAGAAGAAAAUGAAGAUUUAUUAAAGCCCCCUACCACUCCCACAAUUAUGGUUGAGACUAAGAUGAUGAAGGGAGUUUUUCAAUCCUUGAACUUGUCUCAAUACAUCCAACAAUCUUUCAUAGCUCCAACUUUUACGUUUGAAAAAAUUUCAACUUCUUUUUCACCUCCCACUAUUUUCAACUCCUCAAAUUUUUCCAAAUCAAACUUUGAGUUUAUGUUACAUUCUAGGAUACAAUUAACUCAAAGUAAACAUAAAUG
RNAcentral lists this long non-coding RNA (693 nucleotides) under Vigna radiata. RNAcentral's name for it is "long non-coding RNA (VRAD_LNC003845)". Lineage: Eukaryota; Viridiplantae; Streptophyta; Magnoliopsida; Fabales; Fabaceae. The record is from RNAcentral.